This is a long non-coding RNA of Hemicordylus capensis (graceful crag lizard), 536 nucleotides long. RefSeq lists it as uncharacterized. The transcript has 2 exons. Lineage: Eukaryota; Metazoa; Chordata; Lepidosauria; Squamata; Cordylidae. The record is from RefSeq and is a predicted model, not a curated record.
UUGAGGGAAUGCAGCCUGCGCUUCUGAAUUUGGAUUUAACGCAGGCUGCAUUAAACCUUGGUUUGGAGUGGUGAAACUCACCGCUUUGGAGUUAGGAGAGUGGAACUUCAGGUCGCUCUCCAUGCGGAAUCAGAAUUCUGAGGGCUGUCCUGCAUUUGGACAUUCAGGUUUGGCAACCUCUGACCACUUCAACUCCAGUUCCAUGUUAUGUGCAGUUCCUCUUCGAACAAGAUUUCCCCACUGGUUUGAGAUUCGGGACAAGUCUGGCUGGCUCGUUGCACGUUGGUCUUCUUCAUUUUGGCUGCUCGCCCGCGGGACCUUUAGUGGGAGUGGUAUGGACUGUGCAGGAGUACUGUUGGGAGAGUUCUCUUAGAAGAAAGAGACUGGGGUUUGGUUUGGUUUUAUUUAGUGGCCCUAUGAUAUUAUUAUAUGUAUGUUUUAUGAUUUCUACCAAUUUGUAAAUGGGUAUUUUAAAGUUUAUCUUUAUGUAUGCUUGGCACAUUGAGUCGUACAAAUAAAAUUUAAAUGCUUCUAAA